AUAUAAAUGAUAUAGUAAACAUGAUAAGUUGCUUUAUUUUGGAUUUGCACCAAAUUUUUGGCUCCUAAGGCCACUGGAUUACUGUUAUCCUAAAAAAGCCGGUGAAAAAGCCAUAUUUUUAAGUAUGGGUUGAAGAAUUAGCAGUUCUUCUUUACUUUUUCGGGUAAUUAAAAGAAUAAUAAUUCUUUGUUUCUAGAUUCACAGUCUAAUGUUUUUUUUAAACUAUAAUUACAGUAGGUAAGGCCAAGGAUAAUGUUGGGGUGAAUAGAGAGUAGGAGGAUUGGGGUUAGAUGUAGGAGUAUUAGUGUGUGUUCUCGUGUUUGUGAGGGGUUCAUGUUGAGAGUGUGGUUUGUUAUUUUUCCUCGCUGGGUGGUGAUGAAUAUGUAGAGUGAGUAUAAGGCUGUAAUAAGAACGUUUAAGCCUAUGAGAAUGAUUGUAAGGUUGGAUCAUGAGAAAGUUGAAAUAACAAUUAAUAGCUCUCCGAUGAGGUUAAUUGAUGGGGGUAUUGCUAUGUUAGUUAGGGUUGCUAUAAAUCAUCAGAUGGUUAUUAGAGGGAGGAUAGUUUGAAGACCUCGGGCUAGGACCAUAGUUCGGCUAUGAAUGCGUUCGUAAUUAGUGUUGGCUAGGCAGAAUAGUGCGGAAGACGUAAGUCCGUGGGCAAUUAUUAUGGCGGUGGCACCUAUGUAGCUUGAUGGUGUGUUGAUUAUGAUGGCAACGAUUACUAGGGCUAUAUGGCUGACUGAGGAGUAUGCGAUUAGGGCCUUAAGAUCUGUUUGUCGUAGACAGAUAGAGCUAGUUAUAACUAUGCCUCAUAAUGAGAGUAACAUAAAAGGGUAACAUAUAUUGUUGUUGAGGGGUUCAAUCAGGAUAGCUAGUCGUAUUAUCCCAUAGCCUCCUAGUUUUAGGAGGAUUGCUGCUAGGACUAUUGAUCCUGCGAUGGGGGCUUCGACAUGGGCUUUAGGUAGUCAUAGGUGGAGACCAUAUAGUGGUAUUUUGACUAUAAAGGCUAUCAUGCAAGAUAGUCAUAUGAUGUUAUUAGUUCAGGAAUGUUGUAGAGAGUCGUGAGUGAAGAUAAGUAUGAUUAAGUUAAGGGAUCCUAGUGUAUGAUACAUGUUAAGUAAGGCGAUUAAUAGUGGUAAGGAUCCUACCAGUGUGUAUAAUAGGAAGUAUGAGCCUGCAUUAAGUCGUUCGGCUUGAUUUCCCCAGCGUGUAAUAAUAAUUAGGGUGGGGAUUAGGGUUGAUUCAAAUAAAAUAUAAAAUAUUAUAAGUUCUAAGGAUGAGAAGGUUAUGAUAAGUAGAACUUGUAGGGUUAUUAGGAGGGAGAUAUAUGUUUUUUUUCAUAAUAGAGGUUCUUUAUGUAGAUGGUGUUGGCUUGCUAUGAUUAUAAGGGGGGUUAAUCAUGAUGUCAGAAUUAUUAGAGGGGUGGAGAGGUUGUCUGUGAAGAAUGAUGAAGAGAAGAAAGUUGAUUGGUACGGAGAGCAUAGGGUGGUAAUACAAAUUAGGCUAAUGAGGAAACUGUGGGUGGUUGAGUUAAUUCAGAUUAUUUUUGGGCUAGAGAGUCAUGUUAUGGGAAUUACUAUAAUUAUGGGAAUAAUAAUUUUUAGCAUUGUAAGAGGUUUAGGUUUUGUACGUAGUCUGAGCCGUAAGUAUUUGAGAUUUUUACUAGCAGGGCUAGUCCGAUUGCUGCUUCACAUGCGGCUAGGACUAAUAUAAUAAUGGGUAUUAUGAAAGAUAAGUUUAUGUGGAAGGAUGUUGAUAGGAGUGCUAUUAUUAGGAAGAGGGUUAAUAUUAUUCCUUCUAGGCAUAGGAGAGAGGAUAUCAGGUGCGAUCGGAAUAUUAAUAUUCCUGCUAAUGAAAUAAAAAAUGCGAUGUUGAGGUUUAUUAUAGUGAAGGGCAUAUCUAGCAGUUAUGAGCUUUCAUAAUUUAAUGAGCCGAAAUCAAUUGUUUUAGUUUAAACUAACUGCUAUAUUCAUUUCAUUCUAGGCCGUUUUGUGAUCAUUCGUAAGCUAAGCCUAGUGUUAAAAUUACAAUUAGGGCUAGUGCUAUUGUGGUUGUAGAUAAAAUUGAUGGAUAUUGAAAGGCUCAUGGUAGGGGUAGAAGUAGGGCGAUUUCUAGAUCAAAUAGUAGAAAGGUAAUAGCUACUAAGAAGAAUUUUAUUGAAAAGGGUAGGCGGGCUGAAUUAAUUGGAUCAAAACCACAUUCGUAGGGGCUUACUUUUUCUGAAUAUAGGUUUAUUUGGGGAAUUCAAAAUGCAAUUAUAGUUAAUAGGCUGGCUAGGGUUAGGUUGAUGCUUAAGGCAAUAAUUAGAUUUAUUAUUCUUUUUUGGGUUAUACCAAAGUCUUCUGAUUGGAAGUCAGAUAUACUGCUUGUACUAAAAGAAUAUGAACCUCAUCAAUAAAUAGAGAUAUAGAGGAAUAGUCAUACUACAUCUACGAAGUGUCAAUAUCAAGCUGCUGCUUCGAAGCCGAAGUGAUGGGUUGAUGUAAAGUGAUACAGUGUAUGGCGGAUGAGACAGACAAUUAGGAAGGUAGUACCAAUUAUAACGUGUAGACCGUGGAAUCCUGUUGCUAUAAAGAAAGUGGACCCAUAGACUCCGUCAGCAAUAGUGAAGGAUGCUUCCAUGUACUCAAAUGCUUGAAGUAUUGUGAAGUAGAUUCCUAGGGCGAUAGUGAUGGCGAGGGCUUGGGAUGUGUGGGAUCGACUUCCUUCUAUUAGACUAUGGUGAGCUCAUGUGAUAGACACUCCUGAGGCUAGGAGGACAGAGGUAUUAAGUAGAGGGACUUCUAGGGGGUUAAGAGGGAUGAUACCUGCAGGUGGUCAGCAGCCCCCUAGUUCUGGUGUGGGGGCUAGGCUCGAGUGGUAGAAUGCUCAGAAAAAGCCUGCGAAGAAAAAGACUUCGGAGAUAAUGAAUAGGACUAUACCGUAGCGAAGUCCUUUUUGUACUACGGGAGUAUGGUGGCCUUGGAAUGUUCCUUCUCGAAUGAUGUCUCGUCAUCAUUGGUACAUAGUAAGUAUAUUGGUAAGUAGGCCGAUAAUUAGAAGAGUAAUUAUUUUAAAGUGAAAUCAUAUGAUAAUUCCGGAGGUUAAAAGGAGGGCAGAUAGGGCUCCUGUUAGUGGCCAUGGGCUAGGAUUGACUAUGUGGAAGGCGUGUGUUUGGUGAGUCAUUAUGUGUUAUCAUGCAAAUAUAGGCUGACUAGUAGGGUAAACACGUAGGCCUGAAUAAUGGCUACGGCUAAUUCAAGUACGGUGAGGAGUGUUAAUACUGUUAAUGAUAAUAGGGAGGCAGGGGGGCUUAAGGUUAUUAUUGCUAAGGUUGCUCCACUGAUUAAGUGAAUUAAUAAGUGCCCAGCUGUAAUAUUAGCUGUUAGUCGUACGGCUAAGGCAAUGGGUUGAAUGAAUAGGCUGAUUGUUUCGAUAAUAAUUAGCAUGGGGAUUAGAGGUAGUGGGGUACCUUGGGGAAGAAAGUGGGCUAAGGAAGAUUUAGUUUUGUAUCGGAAUCCUAGGAAUACAGCUCCGGCCCAUAGGGGGGUAGCUAUAGCUAGGUUUAUUGAUAAUUGAGUGGUAGGGGUAAAUGAGUGAGGUAUUAGACCUAACAGGUUGGUGGAGGCAAUAAAGGAAAUGGUGGAAAUUAAUAUGAGAGCUCAGGACCGUCCUUUAGUUGAGUGGGUUAGCAUUAUUUGUUUAGUUACCAGUUGGAUUAGUCAUGUCUGGAAUGUUGUGUAACGGUUGCUAAUUAAACGUUUUGGGGAAGGAAAUAUAAUUGAGGGUAAAAUAAUGAUAAUAAUAACUAGAGGGAGGCCUAGGAAUGAUGGGACAAUGAAAGGGGAGAAUAAAUUUUCGUUCAUUUAGAUUCUCAAGGGGAGGUAACUUUGAGUAUACUGGAGGGUUUAGUUGAAGGAGGGUGAUAGGUACUAAAGUUUUUGAUUUUUAGUUGAAAGAUAAUAAAUAGGGUAAUUAGGGUUCCAAAAAUUACUAUAAGUCAUGGUGCGGUGUUUAGCUGAGGCAUUCUCAUUGUGGAAUUAUUUAAUUCUAUCUUUAACUUAAAAGGUUAAUGCUAAAGUAGCUUCACAAUGGUGUCUACAUUGAUGUUGAUCAGGCCUCAAAAUAUUUUAGUGGAACCAUUUCUAGGACGAUAGGCAUGAAGCUGUGGUUAGAUCCACAGAUUUCGGAGCAUUGUCCGUAGAAUAGGCCUGGUCGGGAAGAUGAUACUGUUGCUUGGUUUAGGCGGCCUGGAAUGGCAUCUGUUUUUAAACCUAAAGAUGGAACCGCCCAAGAGUGAAGAACAUCUUCCGAUGAGAUUAGUAUACGAAUGGGGAGUUCCAUAGGGAGAACAACCCGAUUGUCAACUUCAAGUAGACGAAGAUCCCCCGGUUUUAAGUCUGGUGUAUUGACUAUGUAUGAAUCAAAUGUUAAGUCCUCAUAGUCUGUAUACUCAUAGCUUCAGUACCAUUGGUGUCCUAUAGUUUUCACUGUUAGGACUGGAUUGUUAAUUUCGUCUAUUAUAUAUAGAACGCGUAGUGAGGGAAGGGCAAUCAUAAUAAGGAUAAUGGCUGGAAGAAUAGUCCAGAUUGUUUCUACCUCCUGGGCGUCUAUGGUAUUGGUGUGGGUUAAUUUGGUGGUGAGUAUAAGAGAAAUAAUAUACAGUACUAAUGUACUAAUAAGAAAAACGAUUAUUAGUGUGUGGUCGUGGAAGCUAGUAAGUUCCUCUAUGAUAGGAGAGGUGGCAUCCUGUAGACCAAGUUGGAGAGGAUAUGCCAUGUAAGAUAUAUAAGAGUUUCACUUAUGAUUUAACCUUGACAAAGUUAUGUAAUUUUUUUUACUAAUAUCUUAUUGAGAAAGACAUAAUGGUGUAUGGGGCUGGCUUGAAACCAGUUUUAGGGGGUUCGAAUCCUUCCUUUCUUAGUGUGAUGACUUCACGAAAGCAGGUUCUUCAAAUGUGUGGAAAGGUGGGGGACAUCCGUGGAUUCAUUCUAGAUUUGUUGAGGUGAGUUCAACAUAUUUAACUUCACGUUUGGAGGCGAAGGCCUCUCAGAUCAUGAAUACUAUGAGGAUUACUGCGGUUAAAGAAAUAAAUGAGCCUAUUGAUGACACGGCGUUUCAUGUUGUGUAGGCAUCUGGGUAGUCUGAGUAUCGUCGGGGUAUUCCUGCUAGUCCAAGGAAAUGUUGGGGAAAAAAUGUUAGGUUGACUCCAACAAAUAUAAUUGUAAAAUGGAUUUUGGCUCAUAUAUCAUUAAGAGUGUAGCCUGUGAAUAGAGGAAAUCAAUGGACAAACCCACCUAUAAUGGCGAAUACAGCCCCUAUAGAUAGGACAUAGUGAAAGUGGGCAACUACAUAAUAGGUAUCAUGUAGGACAAUGUCUAGAGAGGAAUUAGAUAGUACAAUACCGGUCAGUCCUCCUACUGUAAAUAGGAAAAUAAAGCCCAGGGACCAUAAUAUGGCUGGGGAUCAUUUAAUAUUUCCACCGUGAAGGGUAGCUAGUCAGCUGAAAACUUUUACUCCUGUUGGAAUAGCAAUAAUUAUUGUGGCAGAUGUAAAAUAGGCUCGUGUAUCCACGUCUAUUCCUACGGUAAACAUGUGAUGGGCUCAUACGAUAAAUCCUAAGAAUCCAAUGGAUAUUAUAGCUCAGACUAUACCCAUAUAGCCAAAGGGUUCUUUUUUGCCUGAGUAAUAUGUUACAAUAUGAGAGAUAAUGCCGAAGCCUGGUAAAAUUAGGAUAUAAACUUCCGGGUGGCCAAAGAAUCAGAAUAGGUGUUGGUAUAAGAUGGGGUCUCCACCUCCAGCAGGGUCAAAAAAUGUUGUGUUAAGAUUUCGAUCAGUGAGCAGUAUAGUAAUACCGGCAGCUAGGACAGGUAGGGAUAGUAGUAAUAAUACUGCUGUAAUUAGAACGGAUCAAACGAAUAAGGGGGUUUGAUACUGGGAAACUGCAGGGGAUUUUAUGUUAAUGAUGGUGGUGAUAAAAUUGAUUGCUCCUAAAAUUGAGGAUACUCCUGCCAGGUGGAGUGAGAAGAUAGUUAAAUCUACGGAAGCUCCUGCAUGUGCUAGGUUUCCGGCAAGGGGAGGAUAGACUGUUCACCCGGUUCCAGCCCCAGCUUCUACUAUAGAGGAUGCUAAAAGAAGUAGGAAAGAAGGGGGGAGUAGUCAAAAGCUCAUGUUAUUUAUUCGUGGGAAUGCUAUAUCAGGGGCCCCGAUUAUUAGAGGCACUAGUCAGUUUCCAAAUCCCCCAAUUAUAAUGGGUAUUACUAUAAAGAAAAUUAUGACAAAUGCAUGAGCGGUUACAACCACAUUGUAAAUUUGGUCAUCCCCUAAUAGAGCUCCGGGUUGACCGAGCUCAGCUCGAAUUAGAAUACUCAGCCCUGUGCCUACUAUUCCGGCUCAAGCUCCGAAUAUGAGGUAGAGUGUUCCAAUAUCUUUAUGGUUUGUUGAAAAUAAUCAACGAUUAAUGAACAUAGGUAGAUAGGAUGGCUGAGUAAGGCAUUGGACUGUAAAUCCAAGUACAGGGAUAAACCCCUUUCUAUCAUAGUCCUGUGGUGAAUUUUCAUAUUGAAUUGCAAAUUCAAAGGAGCAGCUUCAAUUCUGCCGGGACUUCUCCCGCCUCUGUUUUUUUUUAGGCGGGAGAAGUAGAUUGAAGCCAGGUGAUUUUGGUGUUUAGCUGUUAACUAAAAUUUUGCAGGUUUAACUCCUGUCAAUCUAGGGAGGACUUAGCUUAAUUAAAGCUGUUGGUUUGCGUCCAGAAGAUGUGAGGUAGGUCUUACAGUCCUUAGGGGCAGAAAUUAAACUUUAGUGUUUACUUAGGGCUUUGAAGGCCCUUGGUCUUUUUAACCUAAAUUUCUAUAGGAGGCAGAGGAAGAAGGGAGAUAGUGGAAGUGACAGUGAAGAUAAAAGUAAUAGGGUAGGGAUUGGGGUUAGAUGCUUGUAGUUAUAUAUUCGUCAUGUAAAUUUGUUAUUGUUUGGAAGGGGAAAUAGAGUAAGGGCGGAUGAGUAAACUAGUCGUAGGUAAAAAUAAAGGUUUAGGAGGGCUGAUAUUACUAUGAAUACGCUUGUUAUAAUGUUUUUGUUGGUGAUUAUUUCUUGAAUAAUGAAUCAUUUUGGUAGGAAUCCUGUUAAAGGGGGUAAUCCUCCUAAUGAUAAGAGGGUAAUCAGGAUAAUGAGGGUUAUUAGUGGGGUAGUGUUUCAUGCUAUUGUAAGGGUUGAAGUGUUGUUUGCUGAUAAAAAAUUUAGGGUUAUAAAUAUAUUAAUUGUAAGUAUAAUGUAAAUAAGUAAAUUUAGUAUUAUUGCAGUAGGGUUGUAAAGUGUUGCUGCUGUUAUUCAUCCUAUAUGUGCAAUUGAUGAGUAUGCUAGGAUUUUGCGUAUUUGGGUUUGGUUUAAUCCUCCUCAUCCUCCAAUAAUAAUGGAUAGUAUGGCUAUUAGUAUUAUUAUGUUUGUGUUUAGAUUGUUAGAUAUUUGGUAUAAGAUUGAAAUAGGGGCUAGUUUUUGCCAGGUUAGUAGGAUUAUUCCUACUAUCAGGGGGAUGCCUUGGGUGACUUCUGGUACUCACAGGUGAAAGGGGGCUAGGCCAAGUUUUAUAGCUAAGGCGAUAGGUAGGAGAUAUUGAGAUAUGUCAUUUUCAUGUUGACUCAUAAUUCAUUGUCCGGUUGAGUUUAGGUUAUUUAGGAUGUAGAAUACGAGAAUUAUUGAGGCGGUUGCUUGGGUUAGAAAGUAUUUUGUAGCGGCUUCUGUGGAUCGAGGGUUAUUUUUAUAUGUUAUUAGUGGAAUAAUGGCUAGUAUACUGAUUUCUAGUCCGAUUCAUAUAUAUAUUCAGUGUGUGGCGGAUAGGACUAUUAUGGUUCCUGCAAAUAUUGUGGUCGCAAUGAGUGAAGAGACGAUGAUAUUUAUUAGUAUGGGAAGGGUUAAACCAACAUUUUCGGGGUAUGGGCCCGAUAGCUUGUAUUAGCUUACCUUACUAGAAUUUAGUGUAAUGGGUAGCACUAAGAAUUUUGAGUUCUUAAGUUAGGUUCGAUCCCUAUAAUUCUAGAAAUAAAAGGGUUAGUACCUUUAUGCUUUACUCUAUCAAAGUAACUCUUUUGUCAGACAUAUUUCUAUAUAAGUGGGGGUAUGCUUGCUGUGGCUAUGGGGAGGGAGAUGUGCCAUAUACAUAGGGCUAAGGUUAGAGGUAGAAAAUUUUUUCAUAGAAGGUGUAUUAGUUGAUCGUAUCGGAAUCGUGGAUAUGAUGCUCGAAUUCAUAGAAACAGGACUGUUAAGAUUAAAAUUUUUAUCAUUAGGUUGGAGGAUAAUAUCUCUGGGUUUGUGAUGGAGUAGGUGGGGCCUAAAAAUAGGAUGGUAGUGAGUGUAUUUAUUAGAAUGAUGUUUAUGUAUUCUGCUAUGAAAAAUAAGGCGAAGGGUCCAGCUGCAUAUUCGACGUUAAAUCCCGAGACUAGUUCUGACUCCCCUUCGGUUAGGUCGAAUGGGGCUCGAUUGGUUUCAGCUAGGGUUGAGAUAAAUCAUAUUAUGGCUAGGGGUCAUGCUGGUAAAAUUAUUCAGAUAAAUUCUUGAGACAUAGAUAAUGAGAUUAUUGAAAAUGGGCCUGCUAGGAGUAUUGUUGAUAGGAGGAUAAUUGCUAGGCUUACUUCAUAGGAGAUAGUUUGAGCCAUGGCUCGGAGAGCCCCGAAUAUGGCAUAUUUAGAAUUGGAGGCUCAUCCGGAUCAUAGGAUGGAAUAAACUGCUAUGCUAGAGGCUGCUAAGAUAAAUAGAAACCCUAUGUUCAUGUUAAUUAGGGAGUGGGGCAUUGGGAUAGGGAUUCAUAAUGAGAGGGCGAGGGCGAGGGCGAGGAUAGGGGAAAUUGAGAAUAGAAUUAGUGAGGAGGUGGCUGGGCGUACUGGUUCUUUGAUAAAUAGUUUGAUUGCAUCUGCGAAUGGUUGGAAUAUUCCAUAUGGACCCACAAUGUUUGGUCCUUUUCGUAGUUGUAUAUAGCCUAAGAUUUUUCGUUCUAACAGGGUGAGGAAGGCUAUUGCUAGUAGAAUUGGAAUGAUGAAUGUAAGAAAGUUAAGGAUAAACAUGUUGUUAAGAAGAGGAGUUGAACCUCUGAUAAUAAAGUUUUAAGUCUUAUGCAAUUGCCUGCUCUGCCAUCUUAACAACUCCUUAUCUUGGAGUGUUAUUUGGUUAUACAACUGCUAUAGCAACUGACGAUUAUCCUGAGACUUGGGGGUCUAGCUUAUGGUUAUGAUUUCUGUUAUUAUCAGGGAUUCUGUUAGA
Perognathus longimembris pacificus (Pacific pocket mouse) is the source of this 9228-nucleotide long non-coding RNA. RefSeq lists it as uncharacterized. The record is from RefSeq and is a predicted model, not a curated record. NCBI's taxonomy places the organism in Eukaryota, Metazoa, Chordata, Mammalia, Rodentia, Heteromyidae. The transcript has 2 exons.